AUCUUUAUGUAGUUCAUGUGCUUGAUGAUUAGAUAUUCAUGUACCUACGUGAGAUGUGCCUCCUUUAAACCUUGUUACUAUGUUGGCAAAUUAUCCUUCUGACA
Small nucleolar RNA from Nycticebus coucang (slow loris), 104 nucleotides. RefSeq annotates it as small nucleolar RNA U13. The record is from RefSeq and is a predicted model, not a curated record. The transcript has a single exon. Lineage: Eukaryota; Metazoa; Chordata; Mammalia; Primates; Lorisidae.